GGCAGACCUGACUCUAAAGAUCUAUACCAGAGGUUUAGGCUCAUCGUCACUGAUGCUCUGACCACUUCUCCUAAAACUACAGAGCAGCCUGAAACAACUAAAGGUGUGAUCCUGUAUGUGUUUCUGACUCUGGUCGUCCUGGUCAUCGUGUCAUCCCUGUCUGUGCUGGUAUUCUGCAGGAAGAGGAUUUGUAAAGACAAAGAACCUCAUGUGGAAACACUAUGUGCUUCUGCACCAGAGGCUGAAGACGACCCGAGUCAACACACCUACUCUGAGAUAACAUUUGUCAGCGUCGGCUCGUCCCACAGCGGGUUUUCUGAGUGUGUUAUCUACUCUGUUCCUCGGGUGGAAGCUAGCUCUGAUGAGCCCCCUCUGUACUCUACUGUUAACAACCCCCAAUAACUCUCACAGUCUGGCAGAAGAAGCUGGUGUGGAUUAAGCAGCCGUGUAAAUAUUCUGAAACAGAGAGAUGUUUGUGGGAAUAUGUACAAUUAUCUAACCAUUUACUUAUUUCAAACCUGCUUUGAAUGACCUGCUCAUGUGAUGAUAAGUCCAGCUCUGCUCUAGUUCACAAACGUGCCUCUUCAACAGUUUGCUUCAGGUCAAAGCUGGUUGCACUUAUUGUACGUCCCUUUGGAUAAAAGCCUCAGCUAAACGAUAUUUAAUGUAAAAAGCUCUUUUAUGGCUUCAAUUUAUUUAUAAAGUUCAUUUUAUUACACUUGAUAUGGUUUUAAAGUUAUCUCUGUAAGAUAUACUGUUCUAGUCAAGUUAGCAGAUUAGCAUAAGAUAUGUUGCUCCGAAUUAGCUUUGACUAUUAAAUUGACUAUUUUGGUUAAAGAGUUCAUUUAAAGAAAUGUUUAAUUAUAACGGAAUGUAAAUAAAUAGAUAUGAAACUAUAGAUGUGGUCAGUACGGGAUACAAGAUGCCACUCCUCAUACUGUUGCAUAAUGUGUCAGACUUCUAACCUGUUUGUAU
Long non-coding RNA from Gymnodraco acuticeps, 975 nucleotides. RefSeq lists it as uncharacterized. The transcript has 5 exons. The record is from RefSeq and is a predicted model, not a curated record. Lineage: Eukaryota; Metazoa; Chordata; Actinopteri; Perciformes; Bathydraconidae.